CCGCGGGCUACCUUUCGGCCAAUGGGUGUCGCGUACGGAGUAUCCGGCGAUUCUUAUGUUUGAUGCUCAAAAAAAAAAGAAGAUACCCUUUAAUGUUUUCACAAACUAUUAACAUAUUAGCUUUACCCAUUUGCCACGUUACAUUGCUAUUUUUAUAACUUAGAAUUAAGUUAAAAAACAUUACUUAUAGUUUGAUUAAACAUAAAAUACUCCUGAAAACCAAAUGAUCUUAUGGAUGAAUCCAAAUGAUAUUACAAAAAAACAAUCAUACUAGAUAAACAUCUUAAAAUAACCAUAUGUAAAGGUAAUCCUUGUACUUGACAGCAAUGUACAAACAUAAAUAUCAUAUAUCUAAACUUAUAUAUGAUUUUUUUUCAAAUAUUUUUUAAUUAAGUUAGUCAGUUAAUACAUUUAAAUCAUAAAAAAUCCGGUACACCUUGAGUCAUUUGACUAACGACACAACAUGAUAAGUUCGUAAAUUUUGAUAUACCAGCGACAUCUAAAAUGUUUUUUAGCAUUCAUAAACCGAUCCAUUUCCUACACUACAAACCCGUUUCCUACAAUGCAAGUCAAAAUCUAUUUGGUCGAUUUUGAUAUUUACCAAAUGCAUAACAUGAGGGGACCAUCAUGUCAAAAGCGAGUAAAUACUAUUUUGGUAUCGUAAGCUAUAUUAGGUGUAGGUACCAUAUUGGUACCGUAACAAACUUCUAAACAUGCUUUUUAUCAAAGUUUAAACCUCAUAUUACUAUUACUUUUUUACCACUAGCUUUUAGUAGUUUUUUAAACAUGAUAUUACUAUUACUUUUUUAGACCUGAUAUUACUAUUACUUUUUUUUAAACCUGAUAUUACUAUUAAAAAUGUUCCUUUACUAUAAAAAAGCAUGAGUUUUUUUUCCUUUACUAUUACUUUCUACCUCAAGUCAAUUUAAAAAAAAAAAUAAUUACUAAACAAUAAUUUGGAUUCAUAUAUGAUUCCUUCAUCUCACCUACUUUUAAAAAAAGUUAAAAACAUCUAAAAAAAUAAUUCUCUAGAAUGGGACACCUGAUGAAAGUUGAGAUACUUUGUAAUUUAGACGAACAAAAAAACCUUUUGAGUGACUUUAGUUCAACACGAGUAAUAGAUGUUUACUAUAUUGGGCAUAGUUGUCAAAGGUGAAAGACGUAAAUGGUGAGCUUUGGGCCUAGGGGCAAGACACUUAGAAAAGAGAGGGCCAGAGACGAGCAAGACGCAUAGCAAAAAAAAGACCUUUUUUUUUUGAGUUUUGGACAUGUUUAGGCUUGUUUAGAAAUGGUGUACGCUACCAUUUGACGUCUCCCACUAGCUGAUUCUACAACCAACAUAAAGGAGGUAAUCCAGUGUCCUAGAGUACAUCGAUUGAUGUCGGAUGUUAUCUACAUGUUCUAGCCCGUCUAUGUAUUUCUUUUUAAUUAAAACAAAACUGUAGGAAUAUCAAUCUAGUGGCUUAUCAUUUGUACUUUUAUGUCUCUAUUAAGUUAAGCUAUAAAUACUCUCACCGUCGCAUACUAAAAAGGUACCUAAUUACCCCUUUGUAUAGACAUGAAAUCCAUGAGCUUCUUCUAAAAGCAUAGUCUAAACGAAAAGGUUCAUUAGUUUGCAUUUUUCUUUGUUGGUGUUCUAAGAACCGUUGAUUAAUUUGUAUGUAUGUAUUCUCAACUCAAAAACCUAACAACAAACAACUGUUUCAUAAAAAUACAGUGAUCUACACAUAAUUUUCAUCUAUUUUUUCUUGUGCAUAGUAGUUGAGUUUUGUUUAUUGAUUACAUGGUUUUUCCCGGAUCAAGUAGCAUAAAAUGAUCAUCACAUAUCUAUAAUCAACUAGUACUUUGAUGAAAAAGUUGCUUAUAGUUGGGACUAUGUGUUUAGCACAAGAAGCCACUUUUUUUUUAAAGAAACUUUUCAUGACUUAUUUAAAAUAAAAAGCCAUACAUAUACAUAAAUUCUUAAAAAAUGGAUUGAUUAAAGAUGAAAAGAGAAAACCAACCAAGAAAAAUACAAAUUAAUUAAUGAACCUUUUGUUUUAGACUACAUAUACUUUUUAGAAGAAGCUCGCGGUUUUUAUAUACAAAAAGUUAAUUCAUACUAUAUUAAAGUGGAUUUCAUACUUGAUAAUUCAUACUAUAUUAAAGUGGAUUUCAUACUUAAUAUUAAUAUUAAUAUUAAUAUUAAAGUGGAUAAGUAGACUGCCCUAUAAACGAUUUUUUAGAAGAAGCUCACGGGUUUUUAUAUACAAAAAAUCAAUUCAAACUAUAUUAAAGUGGAUAAGUAGACUGCCCUAUAAACAAUAAGCCAUUAUUUUAGAUUGAUAUUUAUAUAUAACUAGUAUUAAGUCCUGCGUUGCGGUGGGAGCGUAAAACCAUGAUAAAUAACACCAAUGCAUCGUCAGCAACAAUGGCGCAACAUAGUGGGGGCAGAAAGGGGCGGCCGACCCCCCGAACUUUUCGCUCAGUAGUGGAGAGUAUGUAGUUUUCAUAUAGAAAUUUUUGGGUAUAUACGUUUUUGACCCCCCGGUUUUAUAGAAAUUUUUGAGUAUAUACGUUUUCGACCCCAGGUCGGAAAUCUCAAGCUUCGCCACUGGUCAGCAACAAUCAACACUAAAGUUGCGGAGUGUUAAUGUGAAGAAAUUAGACCGAAACGUAAAACAUAGAAAGUACUAACUAAGACGAUUUAAGACCCGACGUCGCGACGAACCUAUCAAACGGUGAAAAAAAAUAGACGACAUAAAAACGUUGAACCACACAUGCACGUUGCGCCAUGUUUACUCGCAAAAUUUAGAACGAAGCAAAAAACGAAACGUAAAAACGUUAAACCACACACGCACCUUGCGCCGUGUUAACUCGCAAAAUU
This 2866-nucleotide long non-coding RNA is filed under the name Helianthus annuus (common sunflower). RNAcentral describes it as "hypothetical non coding rna". The record is from RNAcentral. Lineage: Eukaryota; Viridiplantae; Streptophyta; Magnoliopsida; Asterales; Asteraceae.